This 63-nucleotide transfer RNA is filed under the name Scirtidae sp. BMNH 1274304. RNAcentral's name for it is "tRNA-Trp". The record is from RNAcentral. Lineage: Eukaryota; Metazoa; Arthropoda; Insecta; Coleoptera; Scirtidae.
AAGGAUUUAAGUUAAAAAAACUAAGAACCUUCAAAGUUCUCAAUAUAAAUAUUAUAAGCCUUA